RNAcentral lists this ribosomal RNA (449 nucleotides) under uncultured bacterium. RNAcentral describes it as "bacterial SSU rRNA". It matches the Rfam family "Bacterial small subunit ribosomal RNA", at positions 328 to 794 of the family's 1533-position model. The record is from RNAcentral.
UGGCCAGACUCCUACGGGAGGCAGCAGUGGGGGAUAUUGCACAAUGGGGGAAACCCUGAUGCAGCAACGCCGCGUGAGUGAAGAAGUAUUUCGAUAUGUAAAGCUCUAUCAGCAGGGAAGAAGAUGACGGUACCUGAUUAAGAAGCCCCGGCUAACUACGUGCCAGCAGCCGUGGUAAUACGUAGGGGGCAAGCGUUAUCCGGAUUUACUGGGUGUAAAGGGAGCGUAGACGGCAUAGCAAGUCUGAAGUGAAAGCCCAAGGCUCAACCAUGGGACUGCUUUGGAAACUGUGCGGCUAGAGUACUGGAGGGGCAGGCGGAAUUCCUAGUGUAGCGGUGAAAUGCGUAGAUAUUAGGAGGAACACCAGUGGCGAAGGCGGCCUGCUGGACAGUAACUGACGUUGAGGCUCGAAAGCGUGGGGAGCAAACAGGAUUAGAUACCCUAGUACC